ACCAUUUUUUUUUCUUUUUGUUUUCCUCUUCCUUUGCUCCCUGCUUCCAGCAACUGCACCUAUCUCUUCCACCACCCAACACUUUGCUGCAAAUGGCAAAAACAAGAUGAAAAAACGUAAUAAAACUCCUCCGACUUUUCCAUUGAUUCUCCAUUUUUAUUCUUUUUUUGAAAUCUUGUCUUCUCAUGAUUUAGUCAGGUGAACAUAAAAUGAUUUACUCUUACAUUUGAAAGAUUUCUCAAACAUCGUUAAUACACCCAUGACUAUCAAUGUUAAAACCAUGUUUAAAUCGAAGGCCAACCAAAACCCAUAACUAUGAACCGAUAGCAUAUCCAUAUGAAAACUCGAACAAACUCAUACAAAGAUCAAAGCUCAAAGCUCAAAGCUCAAAGCUCAAAUUUUGAAGCUCAAGUGAAUAACCAAAGAAAUGGAAGAACAAUUGUAAGAACUAAAACAUCUGAAAAAUAAAGUACCUUUGACCCAAAAUGAGAUCUUAAGGACAUUGGACAUACUGUUCCAUCUUCAACACCAAAAACAUCGUUGGAUGAAAACUUUGCUGACAAAUUAAAGCUCCCAUUUUCAAAAUUUGAUACCGACGGAGAAGAUUGAGAGGGCCCAAAUGGAUGUUUUAGAUUGUGUUUAUGUUAACGGGAAAUGAAGAGAGAUAGAGUUGUGAAGAUGUAAAAGAGACUGGAAAAUGUAGUAACGAGAGCUAAAGUUUCCGGAACGAAGAAGAAGAAGGUGUUGGAAGGGAAUAGGAGAGGCCAAUGGAGGAGAAUUGAAGGAGGUGCCAUUUGCUUUGGGUGAUUGUGAGGAAGACAUUGACUUUUUUUUUUUUAAGUUUGAAAAUGGGUUUCUCAAAACAGAGGCAACAUAUAAAAGCAGUGAGCAAAGAAAGAAGAAGAAGAAAAAAAAAAUGCUGGAAGCAAGGGGGUGGCUUUGAGGGAAAAAAUGGAUUGAAGAAGAAGAUGAUGAACAGUAAUAGGGGUUUAAAAAAAAGGUUAAAAUUGAUGACAUGGCAUACACAGUCGGCUAUCACGAGAAAUUCAACGAUUGUAAACCAUAAAUUAUUGUAAUAACAGUGAUUAAAUUACAAUUUUUUUAUUUAAAUGAUCAAAAUGAAAGUGUUCAAAAAAUUGGAUCACCAAUUAUAAAAUUUUCCCUAUAAUUUAUACAUACAUAACACGUGGAAAUGUGUUUGGUUUCAUCGUACACCAGGAGAUCUAUAAAAUGAAAACAGUUAAAUUCAAACAUGGAUUUCCUUUUUAUUAUUUUGGUACGUGUCAAUAUUUAUAUAUUUUGGUAUAUUAUUUUUAAAUAUUAUUAAAUUUUGUAAUGCGAAAGAAAAUAUUUUAUCUUAAUAAUAUACUUUUUAAAAGUUUAUUCAAUAAUUAAUAUAGGCAGAGUUGUAAAAAAAAUUUAUUCCAAAAUUAUUAAACACGUGUUUAGAUCAUUGAAUUUGUAAUUUUUUUUUCUUUUAUGUAAAGAUGAGAGCCCGGUUUAAUAUUGCAUUAAACACUUAGUUUUGUAGUUAAAGUGCGAAGGAAAAAUGUUUUUUCAGUUUCACUCAAUCGUGAAAAGCUAGGGUUUAAAUAUUUUUAGCUUUUAACUUUUACGUUUUCAAGUGCAAAUUAUCAAAAUAUUCUUAUUAUUAUAUUUAAAAUUUUAAACUAUUUCCAAUGUAAUUAAAUUUAUAAAUAAUAUAUUAAUUAUUUAAAAUGUAUAUUUUAUGUAUAAUUAUAUUAAGCUAUUUAAAUAUUAUCUAAAUUAAUUUAUUUUUAUUUUCCAACAUUCAUGGAAAUUUUAACUUUCCACUAUAAUUUUUUUACAGUAAUGCUAAACAAUUUAAAUUAACAAACCACACUUUUCCCCAACAUUUUUUCAAAUCGGUCUUUUCAAAAACACUUUUCAACCACGUCAACAAUGUUAAACUAGCUCAAUAUAAAAACAUUAAAAGACAAAAGUAUCAUUACAAUACUAUUAAUUAUAAUUUAAAAGGAGUAUUUCUAUAAAUAUAAUAUAAAAAUAUGAAAAGAUAAAAGUACAAUCAUAAUAAUUUUAAUUAUAAUUUUAAAAAAUAAACGUUUUUGUAAUUUCAUAACUGAGUUCAUGAAUUAAUUAAAAAUAACAUCUAUUUAAAUAUAAGUAUUAGUUAUAUUUUUGGCAUAAUAUUUAAAAUUCUGUUUAGUAUCAUCAGAUCAUUAUCCCUUCGAGAAAAGAAAAGGUUAGACGAAAUUUAAGUUAUAAUUAUAAUAACAAUAAAAAUAAAGAUAUUUAAAUCAAUUAAUAUUUAUUUUAAAAUUAAAAUAAAAUUAUUAAUUUACUUUUUUUAACUUUUUGGUCUAUAUUUUUUUAAUACUAUUUUGGGCCGAAGGUGGUGUAUAAAACCCUUCCAAUAAUAAUUUUAAUCUUCAAAACUUUAAGGAAAAUUUUAUUUCCACUUUUUCUAAUCACUUAUAAGUAAAAAAUAAUUUUAUUUAAAAUGGUAAAAAAACCACAAUGUUUUUACAAAACUUUUUGGACUGGUAAAAUUGAAAUUUAUUAUUGUUUUAACCAGUGAUAAAUUUCAUCUUGUUGAACCUAAUUAUCUAAAAUUGAGAAAUUGAUAAUAAGAUUACCUCUAUAUUACAAAAUCCUAACACUAUUACAAAUGUAACAUUUUCGGCUCAAAGUAAUCUUUCAAAAUACAAAUAAGGGAAUGUAAUUCCAUGAUCUUAUAUUACUGGGAAAAUAAGACUUCACGAAUAAAAAACUCUAAAUGAUUUUACAUUCUAAUUAUUUAAAAAUAAUAUUACAUUCUGUAAACCAAACACCUUCGAAUACAAGUGUAAAACGAGUUGAAACAUAAGCAUUUGGUAUCCCAUAUAAAAAAAGCCAAAUAACAUUACAAUAUACACAGAGAUAGAUGAAUAAAUAAAUGGGUCGAUUACGCCCCUACGUUUUCAUAUUAUGAUCUAAAUUUUAAAAUAUUUUAAUUGAGUCCUCUUAGUAUUAGUAUCAUAUUAAUUAAGUCUUUUUGUCAAUCUAACUAUCAUUUUAGGCGCUAUACGUUAGCUUGAAUCUAAUAUGAAACAUAUUUAAAAAAUAUGAAUUUCAAUGACAUUAGUUUUUGUAAAAAAUAAAAUUUAAAUUGUCUAUGCAAUAAAUAUACACGCGUUUAAAAUUUAAUUCACAUACUUUAAACAUGCUCUACGUUUGAUCCAUGCUGACACCUAACGUUAGACUAAUAAUGGAAGGACCUGAUUAAUAUGAUACUGAUACUUUAAGGACUCAAUCAAAACAUUUUGAAUUUAAAGAUGAAUUUAGAAAUAAAAGUAGUUGCUAAGAAAGCAAAGACCCUUCCUGCCUUUGAUGUUUUUAUAACAAAAAAGACCGAGCACAAGUGGCCCUUGAUGCACUUGUUCCUGCUGUACAUAUAAAUUGACCACUACUACCUGUUUUAAAGGAAAAGCCAAGAAGUCCCAACAUGAAGACUUCCUCUUAGAUAUUCUUGUCCUAGAAAAACUACAUAUUAAAUUGGCCCUAAGAUACCAUCCUAUCUUAUGUCUUUGCUUUAUCACCAUUAUUGGCCACUCUCUGGGCCCCAUUUCACCCCCCGACAACCAAUAAACCAAAAGCCUAAAGGUGGUUAAAAUCCAAACUAAAACCUACAAUCGCUUCCAUUCCAUAUAUAUAUGCAUAUCUUUCAUUUAACAUUCAACAUAUCAAUCACUCACUUACCACAGAAACUAUAAGCUUUUUCUUAGUGGGUGCCAUCUUUUUCAUAUGUCUUGGCUUGACAUGAAGGGCAUAAAACACCAAACUACAGUGAGGAAAGAUUAUUACAGUAAGACUUCGCAAUUUUCACUUAUUUUUUUAAACAAAAGAAAUCAAUUUAGAAAUGAUUGGCAAGUGAAAUUGUAAAGUAUUAGGAAGAUUUACUGGCAGGGCAAGUAAAAAGUUCGUUUUAUUCUGUGAAUAUAUGCGUCUUAUCUGCUUCAAACUCUGGUAAUCAGCUAGGGAGAAAGUCACCAAAGCUUAUGAUAAUGAGUCUGUAUUUGAUACUGCCGGUAUAUAAAUCUAUACUCUUAACAGUGAAUAAAUGCAUAUAUCUCGUUAAAAAAGCUUAAAAACAAGCACAUAAUAUUAAAAAUUUUAACAUAUGACAGUAACUUAUAAGCAGUACGUUGGAAGAUUGUAUGAUGAUUUUGACCAUGAAUGUUAGCACUUAUUAGAUAUGUCAACUCUGAAUUUCUUACUCAACUCCAAAAGGAAUCCAUGUAAAGGUGUUCUCAUUGCAGAAAGAUAAUAAAAGUGGAGAAUCCUAUAGCUUUGGUAAGUGGCAACAGUGAAGAUGAUAUAAGCUUUUGUCCCCCCCCCCCCCACCGCGCAAAAAAUCCCAAAGCAUUGCAGGCAAUGUGGGGUCUAAGAAAUGAAAUGUGAUAGAAAAUAAGGUUAGAAAAGGCUAAACAUCAUACCUCAUUCUUUCCAAUUUCCAUUUAUUCCACUUCUCCCAGUUUAAUCCAACUCUUAAAUUUCGAAAAUCCCUUGUAUUCUUUCACCUUCAAAAGGGGAAAAAAUGGUUUUCCAAAGUGAAGGAGCUGAAACUGAAAGUAGAUCCACUAAACAACAAAGCGAGCUAAGGGUUAACGAAGAUAGCAAUAUUGAAGCAAUAGAAGAAGAGUGGUUGAACCUGAGACUCGGUGGGAACUCAAUACCAGCACCUGGAGACUGCGAAUCGGCUUCAGACCCUCAGUUAAGACCAUCAGUUCCUUCCAAGGUUUUCUCCUGCAACUUUUGCAGGAGAAAGUUUUAUAGUUCACAAGCCUUGGGUGGCCACCAAAACGCCCACAAACGAGAGAGAGGUGCAGCCAGAAGAUACCAGUCCCAGCGGAUGAUGAUGAUGAUGGGUCUGCCGAUGAGCAAUCACGUUGUUCGAUCACUUGGUGUCCGACCACAUUCACUUGUGCACAAAUCAAGCAGAGAUGGAGCUGUUGCUGCUGCUG
RNAcentral lists this long non-coding RNA (4985 nucleotides) under Gossypium barbadense (sea-island cotton). RNAcentral's name for it is "long non-coding RNA (GBAR_LNC012155)". The record is from RNAcentral. Lineage: Eukaryota; Viridiplantae; Streptophyta; Magnoliopsida; Malvales; Malvaceae.